Molecule: small nuclear RNA, 175 nt
Filed under: Oncorhynchus mykiss (rainbow trout)
Lineage: Eukaryota; Metazoa; Chordata; Actinopteri; Salmoniformes; Salmonidae
Description: U2 spliceosomal RNA
Rfam family: U2 spliceosomal RNA
About the family: U2 is a small nuclear RNA (snRNA) component of the spliceosome (involved in pre-mRNA splicing). Complementary binding between U2 snRNA (in an area lying towards the 5' end but 3' to hairpin I) and the branchpoint sequence (BPS) of the intron results the bulging out of an unpaired adenosine, on the BPS, which initiates a nucleophilic attack at the intronic 5' splice site, thus starting the first of two transesterification reactions that mediate splicing.
Source: Rfam by way of RNAcentral
AAAACUUUUCCAAAAGAAAAAGUCUGUUCUUAUCAGUUUAAUAUCUGAUACGUCCCCUAAUUGGGGACCAUAUAUUAAAUUGUUUUUUGGAAUAGGGAGAUGGAAUAGGGGCUUGCGCCGUCCACUCCACGCAUCGACCUGGUAUUGCAGUAUCUCCAGGAAAGGUGCACCCUCU